Molecule: unclassified non-coding RNA, 380 nt
Filed under: uncultured bacterium
Lineage: Bacteria
Description: contains 16S-23S intergenic spacer region
Source: RNAcentral
UCCGGUUUGACACCGGCAGUCUCCCUAGAGUGCCCGGCAUAACCCGCUGGUAACUAGGGACGAGGGUUGCGCUCGUUGCGGGACUUAACCCAACAUCUCACGACACGAGCUGACGACAGCCAUGCAGCACCUGUCUUGGGACUCCGAAGAGGGGCCGUGGUUUCUCACGGCUUUCCCCAAGAUGUCAAGCCCAGGUAAGGUUCUUCGCGUUGCGUCGAAUUAAACCACAUACUCCACUGCUUGUGCGGGUCCCCGUCAAUUCCUUUGAGUUUUAGCCUUGCGGCCGUAGUCCCCAGGCGGGGUGCUUAUUGCGUUAGCGACGGCACCGGAGGGGUCGAUACCCCCGACACCUAGCACCCAUCGUUUACAGCGUGGACUAC